Molecule: non-coding RNA, 21 nt
Organism: Caenorhabditis elegans
Lineage: Eukaryota; Metazoa; Nematoda; Chromadorea; Rhabditida; Rhabditidae
Source: Ensembl
UAUUGAAUGAACCUUAGAAAA